AUUGAACGCUGGCGGCAGGCCUAACACAUGCAAGUCGAGCGGAUGAAGGGAGCUUGCUCCUGGAUUCAGCGGCGGACGGGUGAGUAAUGCCUAGGAAUCUGCCUAUUAGUGGGGGAUAACGUCCGGAAACGGGCGCUAAUACCGCAUACGUCCUGAGGGAGAAAGGGGGGGAUCUUCGGACCUCACGCUAUCAGAUGAGCCUAGGUCGGAUUAGCUAGUUGGUGGGGUAAAGGCCUACCAAGGCGACGAUCCGUAACUGGUCUGAGAGGAUGAUCAGUCACACUGGAACUGAGACACGGUCCAGACUCCUACGGGAGGCAGCAGUGGGGAAUAUUGGACAAUGGGCGAAAGCCUGAUCCAGCCAUGCCGCGUGUGUGAAGAAGGUCUUCGGAUUGUAAAGCACUUUUAGUUGGGAGGAAGGGCAGUAAGUUAAUACCUUGCUGUUUUGACGGUACCAACAGAAUAAGCACCGGCUAACUUCGUG
RNAcentral lists this ribosomal RNA (484 nucleotides) under uncultured bacterium. RNAcentral's name for it is "partial 16S ribosomal RNA". It matches the Rfam family "Bacterial small subunit ribosomal RNA", at positions 30 to 507 of the family's 1533-position model. The record is from RNAcentral.